Molecule: ribosomal RNA, 253 nt
Filed under: uncultured Eubacteriales bacterium
Lineage: Bacteria; Bacillati; Bacillota; Clostridia; Eubacteriales
Description: uncultured Clostridiales bacterium partial 16S ribosomal RNA
Rfam family: Bacterial small subunit ribosomal RNA
Source: RNAcentral
UACGUAGGGGGCAAGCGUUAUCCGGAUUUACUGGGUGUAAAGGGAGCGUAGACGGUGAUGCAAGUCAGAAGUGAAAGCCCGGGGCUCAACUCCGGGACUGCUUUUGAAACUGUGUGACUGGAGUGCAGGAGAGGUAAGCGGAAUUCCUAGUGUAGCGGUGAAAUGCGUAGAUAUUAGGAGGAACACCAGUGGCGAAGGCGGCCUGCUGGACAGAAACUGACGUUGAGGCUCGAAAGCGUGGGUAUCGAACAGG